AUCUAGCUGACGAGUCCCAAAUAGGACGAAACACGUGUCCAACUGGAU
Molecule: non-coding RNA, 48 nt
Filed under: Schistosoma mansoni
Lineage: Eukaryota; Metazoa; Platyhelminthes; Trematoda; Strigeidida; Schistosomatidae
Source: RNAcentral